AACGUAGGACACGAGCGUUAUCCGGAGUUACUGGGCGUAAAGGGCGUUCAGGCGGGUGAUUAAGUUCGCUAUGAAAGCGCCGGGCUAAACCCGGCGAGGCUGGCGGAUACUGGUCAUCUGGAGUGAGGCAGAGGAAGGUAGAAUUCCGCGUGUAGUGGUGAAAUGCGUAGAGAUGCGGAGGAAUACCAGUGGCGAAGGCGGCCUUCUGGGCCUCAACUGACGCUGAAGCGCGAAAGCAUGGGGAGCGAACGGGAUUAGAAACCCGCGUAGUCC
This 273-nucleotide ribosomal RNA is filed under the name uncultured bacterium. Its description in RNAcentral is "partial 16S ribosomal RNA". It matches the Rfam family "Bacterial small subunit ribosomal RNA", at positions 524 to 796 of the family's 1533-position model. The record is from RNAcentral.